Molecule: non-coding RNA, 420 nt
Filed under: Chelonia mydas (Green sea turtle)
Lineage: Eukaryota; Metazoa; Chordata; Testudines; Cheloniidae
Description: Eukaryotic large subunit ribosomal RNA
Rfam family: Eukaryotic large subunit ribosomal RNA
Source: Rfam by way of RNAcentral
GUUUCCUUCAGGAUAGCUAGUACUCAUCUGUAGCCACAGUUUUAUCUGGUAAAGCAAAUGAUUAGAUUUGGGGCCAAAACUAUCUCACCCUAUUUCCAAACUUUAAGUGGGUAAGAAGCCCGGCUCGCUGAUGUGGAGCCAGGAGUGGAGUCUGAGUGCCUAAUAGGCCACUUCUGGUAAGCAGAACUGCUGCUUCUAGAUGAACUGAAUGAUGGGUUAAAUGGUGUGAUGCUGAUGCCCAGCGGACCCAAAAAACAUGCUGGUUGAUAUAGUCAGCAAGACAGUAGCCACAGAAGUUGGAAUCCACUAAGGAGUGUGUAACCACGUAUCUGCUGAAUCAGCUAGCCCUGAAAAUGGAUUCUUUUUUUUUUUAAUAGGACGUCAGGCUAGAUUAUCGCAAUGUCCCCUUCUGGCCUUGGA